ACAAAAAAGGUUAGAGGUGACACUGAAGGAGAAAAGUCAAGCAGUCACUGAUGUUGAGGCAGUAAGAGAACAACUGAGAGAAACCAGAGAAGAACUGCUGAAAGAGAAACAUGAUAACACUGUCUUAAUUGCUGAGACAGUGCAGCAAAAGAAGCUCCUAGGGAAAUAUAACAGAGUGUCUCAGUUCGCUGUGGAGGAAUUUGAGGCCUUACAGGAUACCUUGAACCUGGAGAGGGACUUGAGGACAGAGGCAGAGAACUUUGCCAGAGCGAUGGUGGUUGAGCAAAAGCAGCUGAAGAGACAGAGUCAGAUCCUGAUGCAGAGCUCCUUUCCCAGUCAAGCUCUGCAGGAAGCCCUUAGCCAGGUCACCAGACUAACUCAGGAUCUGGAGACACAGAGGCUCGAGCAUCAGCACCAGGUCUGUGUACACAACUCAAGCACACACCCAAGAAUCAUUUGUAGAUGUAACAUCACAUAUAGAGCUAGGAUUUUUUUAUUCUUGUUUGGGUAUGAUAGACAUGGAAGAGGAAAUGGUGAAUGCAAACAUCUGUACAGAAUGUAAGCUCCAUAAUGAUGUGGAAGUUAAGCUUCACUAUGAGACAUUUGGCCCGCACAUGAAUAACUAAUAACCAUUUGUAAUUUGGGUACAUUUCUUCUUUUUGGUUUGAAAUUCUCAAUGUCCAGUUCUCCAUGAAAUUUUCAUAUAUGUAACCCAUCAGUUUGCUUUACACAUGUAAUGCAUCAAAACAAGAAUUAUUUAUCUUCUUAAUUACAUAGAGGGGAAAUGGCUGCUGAAUUAUUACAGGUCAUGAUAGUUAAACCUAGGGGCCAUGACCUGCCAGAUUAAUAAUUAAAAGCAGCAGUGAAUCCUCCAGCUCCCUCCCACCUCAUCUGGCACUGAUGGAAAACAAUUAGAGUUGAGUGGGAUCACUGAGCUCUCCCGGUGCUGGGGUGGAGGUGAGCCAUACCCUUCAUUUGAGGAACAAUUAAAACACUGGUUAAGGAACUGAGGAUGGGGAGUGGAUGACUGAACGUCAACUGGCAGCUACCCAAUGAUACUUAUCAGAAAUCAUCAUUGCAGAAGCUGCAGCCAACACAGUGCUGCAGAGCUGCUCUUUUUUCAGCAGAAACCUUUGGUUUAUCACUGAACAUUUUUCACAUUUUGUCUCUUUAAGUAUAUAAGAAGGCACUGUCC
Morone saxatilis (striped sea-bass) is the source of this 1195-nucleotide long non-coding RNA. RefSeq lists it as uncharacterized. Lineage: Eukaryota; Metazoa; Chordata; Actinopteri; Moronidae. The record is from RefSeq and is a predicted model, not a curated record. The transcript is spliced from 4 exons.